Molecule: ribosomal RNA, 415 nt
Filed under: uncultured bacterium
Lineage: Bacteria
Description: partial 16S ribosomal RNA
Source: RNAcentral
AAGCACCUCUGGCCGUCGAGUGUCGUGAUCAACGAGCCACACUUCCGGCACGCCAAGCCGUGCAUAGAACGGCAGUUUCUCCAUCGUUUCAUCACCGAGGCCGCGGAUUUCCACAACGGCCGUCGGGGCGCCCUCAAAAUAGACGUCAUGGUCGAUGGCAAAGCGGUCGGGCGUGAGCAGCACGAGAUUGGGAACACGAUAAUCGUUGGGCCAGCCGCCCAAAGACGUGACGUUGAUAUCAUGAUGUACGCGAUUCCCCAGGGGUUGCGCCCAGUGCAGGCGGAGCCACAUCCACAUCUCCGAUAGAAGAUCCUGGUGCGAACGCUUCGGGGCCGGUGUCAUGUGUGGCACUCCCUUCCACAUUUCGUCGAAUUUGUCGUUGCCCGUCUGUUGCCGCCAACCAACGUUUGCGUCA